UACGAAGGGGGCUAGCGUUGUUCGGAAUUACUGGGCGUAAAGCGCGCGCAGGCGGUCUUCCAAGUCAGUGGUGAAAGCCCGGAGCUCAACUCCGGAACUGCCAUUGAAACUGUUAGACUUGAGGAUGAGAGAGGUGAGUGGAAUUCCCAGUGUAGAGGUGAAAUUCGUAGAUAUUGGGAAGAACACCGGUGGCGAAGGCGGCGACCUGGUCCGAUACUGACGCUGAGGCGCGAAAGCGUGGGGAGCAAACAGG
RNAcentral lists this ribosomal RNA (253 nucleotides) under uncultured bacterium. RNAcentral describes it as "partial 16S ribosomal RNA". It matches the Rfam family "Bacterial small subunit ribosomal RNA", at positions 524 to 776 of the family's 1533-position model. The record is from RNAcentral.